RNAcentral lists this ribosomal RNA (468 nucleotides) under uncultured bacterium. RNAcentral describes it as "partial 16S ribosomal RNA". It matches the Rfam family "Bacterial small subunit ribosomal RNA", at positions 28 to 507 of the family's 1533-position model. The record is from RNAcentral.
GACGAACGCUGGCGGCGUGCUUAACACAUGCAAGUCGAACGGAAAGGCCCUGCUUUUGUGGGGUGCUCGAGUGGCGAACGGGUGAGUAACACGUGAGUAACCUGCCCUUGACUUUGGGAUAACUUCAGGAAACUGGGGCUAAUACCGGAUAGGAGCUCCUGCUGCAUGGUGGGGGUUGGAAAGUUUCGGCGGUUGGGGAUGGACUCGCGGCUUAUCAGCUUGUUGGUGGGGUAGUGGCUUACCAAGGCUUUGACGGGUAGCCGGCCUGAGAGGGUGACCGGCCACAUGGGGACUGAGGUACGGACCAGACUCCUACGGGAGGCAGCAGUGGGGAAUAUUGCACAAUGGGAGGAAGCCUGAUGAAGAAACGCCGCGUGCGGGAUGACGGCCUUCGGGGUGUAAACCGCUUUCGCCUGUGACGAAGCGUGAGUGACGGUAAUGGGUAAAGAAGCACCGGCUAACUACGUG